GUUGGAGUGGACCUCGGUGCAGACCUCAGGGAAUGGUCGCGCUUUUAUCUCUCCACUCGUCAAGAGUGACUUGAGUAUUUCACUUCACUUACAAGGUAACAAGUGUAUGUAUGGUUUCUGGAGGAGAAGUGAGUGUAGAUCCUGGCACCCUGUCAGCAGAGUUGCGUCCAUGGCGAGGUCUGUUGGUUGUUGGGACUUGGCAUGGUACACUUCAUCUAGUUGACUUUGCAUUAGACUUGGGAGGCCACAAGGAUUUUGUCUGAUGAAGUUUCCCCAGGAACUUUGGUGAAUAUAACUAUCCCAGAUGCCCAGGCAGAGAGUUCUCGGUUCAGUGCGGUGAUGCAGAAUUGCCAUCCUACUGUGUGUUUGAGUGAUGGCAUGAGUCAAAACGGCCGCUUUCAGCUCAUUGGACCCGAUGACAAUGUGCUCUUUGAAACAGCAAGUCAAUGUGUGGUAGUUACUGCCAUGUCCUUCAUCCCACAGCUUGCCUCACUUGUAAUAGGAUAUAGUUUUGGGGCUUUCCAGAUAAUCAACCUGUCAACUCUGAC
RNAcentral lists this long non-coding RNA (548 nucleotides) under Penaeus japonicus. Its description in RNAcentral is "uncharacterized LOC122254511". Lineage: Eukaryota; Metazoa; Arthropoda; Malacostraca; Decapoda; Penaeidae. The record is from RNAcentral.